UCAACUCCCUAACAUUGUGACGUUACCUAUACCGUUGCUUCGGCGGGCGGCCCCGGGGUUUACCCCCCGGGCGCCCCUGGGCCCCACCGCGGGCGCCCGCCGGAGGUCACCAAACUCUUGAUAAUUUAUGGCCUCUCUGAGUCUUCUGUACUGAAUAAGUCAAAACUUUCAACAACGGAUCUCUUGGUUCUGGCAUCGAUGAAGAACGCAGCGAAAUGCGAUAAGUAAUGUGAAUUGCAGAAUUCAGUGAAUCAUCGAAUCUUUGAACGCACAUUGCGCCCGCCAGCAUUCUGGCGGGCAUGCCUGUUCGAGCGUCAUUUCAACCAUCAAGCCCCCGGGCUUGUGUUGGGGACCUGCGGCUGCCGCAGGCCCUGAAAAGCAGUGGCGGGCUCGCUGUCGCACCGAGCGUAGUAGCAUACAUCUCGCUCUGGUCGCGCCGCGGGUUCCGGCCGUUAAACCACCUUUUAACCCAAGGUUGACCUCGGAUCAGGUAGGAAGACCCGCUGAACUUAAGCAUAUCAAUAAGCGGAGGAA
This 534-nucleotide ribosomal RNA is filed under the name Chaetomium globosum. Its description in RNAcentral is "eukaryotic LSU rRNA". The stretch from base 164 to 317 matches the Rfam family "5.8S ribosomal RNA". Lineage: Eukaryota; Fungi; Ascomycota; Sordariomycetes; Sordariales; Chaetomiaceae. The record is from RNAcentral.